CKGUUAUACAAAUGAUGYAAUUAUUUAUUAUKKWUAUAAAUAAAAUAGAAUUUAUUAGGUGAAAUUAUAAAUUUAUUUUAAUUAUUAAAUUAUUUUAUGAAACUAUGAAAUUUUUUUUGUAAACUAGGAUUAGAUACCCUAUUAUUAAAAAUGUAAAAAAUUAUGUUAAAUUAUUAUUAGUUAUGAACUUUAAAAUUAAAGAUUUUGGCGGUAUUUUAGUCUAUUCAGAGGAACCUGUUCUGUAAUUGAUAGUCCACGAUUAAUUGUACUUGUUUUAAUUAGUUUGUAUAUCGUCGUAGUUGAAUAUUUUAAAAGAAUUUUAAUAUUCAUGAUUUACAAUUUUAAAUCAAAUCAGAUCAAGGUGCAGCUUAUAAACAAGAAGAAAUGGGUUACAAUAAAUAUAUUUAAGCGGAUUAUAUAAUGAAAUUUAUAUUUGAAGAUGGAUUUGAAAGUAAUAAUUUUAAUUUAAAUUUUAUGAUUUAAGCUCUAUGAUAUGCACAUAUUGCCCGUCGCUUUCAUCUAAAUUGGAAUAAGUCGUAACAAAGUAGAGGUACUGGAAAGUGUUUCUUGAAAU
This 574-nucleotide ribosomal RNA is filed under the name Hydrobius fuscipes. RNAcentral describes it as "small subunit ribosomal RNA". The record is from RNAcentral. Lineage: Eukaryota; Metazoa; Arthropoda; Insecta; Coleoptera; Hydrophilidae.